GCUCAGGUGGUGGAAUGGCAGACACGCAUGCUUGAGGUGCAUGUGCCGCAAGGUGUCCGGGUUCAAGUCCCGGCCUGAGCACCA
Molecule: transfer RNA, 84 nt
Filed under: Opitutia bacterium
Lineage: Bacteria; Pseudomonadati; Verrucomicrobiota; Opitutia
Also listed under: 2 other names
Description: Opitutae bacterium tRNA-Leu
Rfam family: tRNA
About the family: Transfer RNA (tRNA) molecules are approximately 80 nucleotides in length. Their secondary structure includes four short double-helical elements and three loops (D, anti-codon, and T loops).
Source: RNAcentral